AAGUGUAGAUAAGAUGUUUACAGUAAGAGUGAGACCUAUCAGCUAGUUGUUAAGGUAAUGGCUUAACAAGGCUGUGACGGGUAACGGUAUUACUUUGUAAUAUUCCGGAGAAGGAGCCUGAGAGACGGCUACUAAGUCUAAGGAUUGCAGCAGGGGCGAAACUUGACCUAUGGAUUUUAUCUGAGGCAGUUAUGGGAAGUAAUAUUAUAUUGUUUCAUAUUUUAAAAGUAUAUGAGGUGAUUAAUUGGAGGGCAAAUCAAGUGCCAGCAGCCGCGGUAAUACUUGUUCCAAGAGUGUGUAUGAUGAUUGAUGCAGUUAAAAAGUCCGUAGUUUAUUUUUUUAAAAAGCAA
RNAcentral lists this ribosomal RNA (350 nucleotides) under Nosema sp. RNAcentral describes it as "SSU rRNA". It matches the Rfam family "Microsporidia small subunit ribosomal RNA", at positions 136 to 479 of the family's 1311-position model. Lineage: Eukaryota; Fungi; Microsporidia; Nosematidae. The record is from RNAcentral.